Molecule: ribosomal RNA, 253 nt
Filed under: uncultured bacterium
Lineage: Bacteria
Description: partial 16S ribosomal RNA
Rfam family: Bacterial small subunit ribosomal RNA
Source: RNAcentral
UACGGAGGGUGCAAGCGUUAUCCGGAUUCACUGGGUUUAAAGGGUGCGUAGGCGGGUAAGUAAGUCCGUGGUGAAAUUUCUGAGCUUAACUCAGAAACUGCCGUGGAUACUAUUUGCCUUGAAUAUUGUGGAGGUGAGCGGAAUAUGUCAUGUAGCGGUGAAAUGCUUAGAUAUGACAUAGAACACCAAUUGCGAAGGCAGCUCACUACACAAUCAUUGACGCUGAGGCACGAAAGCGUGGGGAUCAAACAGG